AGAGUUUGAUCCUGGCUCAGGAUGAACGCUAGCGACAGGCUUAACACAUGCAAGUCGAGGGGCAGCGGGGGCGUAGCAAUAUGCCUGCCGGCGACCGGCGCACGGGUGAGUAACACGUAUGUAACCUGCCCUAUGCAGGGGGAUAACCCGGAGAAAUCCGGCCUAAUACCGCGUAACACCUUAGGGGAGCAUUCUCUUGAGGUUAAAGGAGAGAUCCGGCAUAGGAUGGACAUGCGUCGCAUUAGGUAGACGGCGGGGUAACGGCCCACCGUGCCGACGAUGCGUAGGGGUUCUGAGAGGAAGGCCCCCCACACUGGUACUGAGACACGGACCAGACUCCUACGGGAGGCAGCAGUGAGGAAUAUUGGUCAAUGGCCGAGAGGCUGAACCAGCCAAGUCGCGUGAGGGAAGAAUGUCCUAAGGAUUGUAAACCUCUUUUGUCGGGGAGCAAAAAGGCUCUGCGGAGUCGUAUUGAGAGUACCCGAAGAAAAAGCAUCGGCUAACUCCGUGCCAGCAGCCGCGGUAAUACGGAGGAUGCGAGCGUUAUCCGGAUUUAUUGGGUUUAAAGGGUGCGCAGGCGGCGUGUCAAGCAAGCGGUAAAAUAGCGGGGCUCAACCCCGUCGAGCCGUUUGAACUGGCGCGCUUGAGUUCAGGCGAGGUAGGCGGAAUUCGUGGUGUAGCGGUGAAAUGCAUAGAUAUCACGAAGAACUCCGAUUGCGAAGGCAGCUUACCAGUCUGCGACUGACGCUCAGGCACGAAAGUGUGGGUAUCGAACAGGAUUAGAUACCCUGGUAGUCCACACAGUAAACGAUGAGCGUAUAGGUGUCGCGGGUCGCACGAGACGCGGGUGCACGAGUGAAAGCCAAAAAAUCUGCACAAGGGGAGCAUCCUGGGAACGGUGAAAGUCAAAGGAAUGGAGGGGGGCGAGCACAAGUGGAGGAACACUGUGGAAUAAGUCGAUGAAGAGCGAGGAACCUUCCCGAGGGAUCAAAGGAAUCAAUCAAUAUAUCAAUAUUACGUAGCCAGCAAGGGUGGAUGUAGCGUGUGGGCCAUGGAUGUAAUAAUGCUCGUGCCGGCAGGCGUUAGGAAUAGGGUCAGAGUGAGAGCAACACCGCGGGGGACUUUCCUAUGGGAAAACCCGGGAAUUGUGGGGGGGGUGGGGGGGCAACCCGCGGUGAAGGUGAGGAGGAGCAAAUACAUGCUAGGCCGGAUCUUUCGGGGAGCCACA
RNAcentral lists this ribosomal RNA (1228 nucleotides) under uncultured bacterium. Its description in RNAcentral is "partial 16S ribosomal RNA". It matches the Rfam family "Bacterial small subunit ribosomal RNA", at positions 8 to 1222 of the family's 1533-position model. The record is from RNAcentral.